Molecule: ribosomal RNA, 262 nt
Filed under: uncultured bacterium
Lineage: Bacteria
Description: partial 16S ribosomal RNA
Rfam family: Bacterial small subunit ribosomal RNA
Source: RNAcentral
GUCCACGCCGUAAACGAUGAUAACUAGCUGUCCGGGCACAUGGUGCUUGGGUGGCGCAGCUAACGCAUUAAGUUAUCCGCCUGGGGAGUACGGUCGCAAGAUUAAACUCAAAGGAAUUGACGGGGGCCUGCACAAGCGGUGGAGCAUGUGGUUUAAUUCGAAGCAACGCGCAGAACCUUACCAGCCUUUGACAUCCCGCGCUAACCUGAGAGAUCAGGGGUUCCCUUCGGGGACGCGGUGACAGGUGCUGCAUGGCUGUCGU